RNAcentral lists this ribosomal RNA (475 nucleotides) under uncultured bacterium. RNAcentral describes it as "bacterial SSU rRNA". It matches the Rfam family "Bacterial small subunit ribosomal RNA", at positions 335 to 799 of the family's 1533-position model. The record is from RNAcentral.
ACUCCUACGGGAGGCAGCAGUGGGGAAUAUUGCACAAUGGGGAAACCCUGAUGCAGCCAUGCCGCGUGUGUGAAGAAGGCCUUCGGUUGUAAAGCACUUUCAGUAGGGAGGAAGGUAGUGUAGUUAACACCUGCACUAUUUGACGUUACCUACAGAAGAAGCACCGGCUAACUCCGUGCCAGCAGCCGCGGUAAUACGGAGGGGUGCGAGCGUUAAUCGGAAUUACUGGGCGUAAAGCGCAUGCAGGCGGCCUGUUAAGUCAGAUGUGAAAGCCCGGGGGCUUAACCUCGGAAUUGCAUUUGAAACUGGCAGGCUAGAGUCUUGUAGAGGGGGUAGAAGUUUCAGGUGUAGCGGUGAAAUGCGUAGAGAUCUGAAGGAAUACCAGUGGCGAAGGCGGCCCCCUGGACAAAGACUGAACGCUCAGAUGCGAAAGCGUGGGGAGCGAAACAGGAUUAGAUACCCUGGUAGCACAGAG